CCCCUGUGCAUGUAGUGGCUAAUGUCGUGAAGGAUGUUAUCAAUCUUUGUUCUAGGUAGGCUGGCCAUCAUUGUUGCUGAAUCCAGUAGAAUACCUAGAAAAUUGAUGACUGUGUCUGGCCCUUCCGUUUUGGUGGGAGAUAUGGGGACACCGAGUGCGGUGAAUAGUUUGACAGCUUUGUCUAGGCUACACGGGGGGUAGGUAUU
This is a non-coding RNA of Pelobates cultripes (western spadefoot toad), 206 nucleotides long. NCBI's taxonomy places the organism in Eukaryota, Metazoa, Chordata, Amphibia, Anura, Pelobatidae. The record is from the annotation of a GenBank genome assembly.